This 416-nucleotide ribosomal RNA is filed under the name Subnicoletiinae sp. H-TN010. RNAcentral's name for it is "partial small subunit ribosomal RNA". It matches the Rfam family "Microsporidia small subunit ribosomal RNA", at positions 655 to 1279 of the family's 1311-position model. The record is from RNAcentral. Lineage: Eukaryota; Metazoa; Arthropoda; Insecta; Zygentoma; Nicoletiidae.
CUAGGAUUAGAUACCCUAUUAUUAGCAAUGUAAAUAAGGUAGCUUAGGUAUUAAUUGGUGUUCAUGAAACCUAGAGAAUUUGGCGGUGCUUUAGUCUUUUUAGAGGAACCUGUCCUAUAAUCGAUAGUCCACGUUGUUAUUACCUAUUUUGAUUAAUAGUUUGUAUAUCGCCGUCAGAAGGUAAUUUUUUGAGGAGAGUAAUUUUUGUAAUAUUGGGGGAUAGGAUGACAGGUCAAGGUGCAGCUGAUGGGUAGGGAGGAGAUGGGUUACAAUAUAGUGAAUAUAAAUGGAUUCUUUGGUAGAAGGGGAUGAAGGUGGAUUUAAGAGUAAUUUUAUAAUAUAAGGGUGAAGAGGGCUCUAAAGUGUGCACACAUCGCCCGUCACUCUCAUUAAUUAUGAGAUAAGUCGUAACAUAG